Molecule: long non-coding RNA, 870 nt
Organism: Peromyscus eremicus (cactus mouse)
Lineage: Eukaryota; Metazoa; Chordata; Mammalia; Rodentia; Cricetidae
Exons: 5
Source: RefSeq, a predicted model, not a curated record
UGAUAAGCAUUCUUUUGUUCUCAUUUGGACACUCUAACUGCCGUUUUUAUGUGGGCAUGGCCUUGGCCGAUAGUGAUUUGAUUUCAGAUGAAGUCCGACAAAAAGCAGUGUGGAGAUGGUGAAAUGUGGGAAGACUCGCAGUAACUUAGAGGCAGCACAUUUCUUUAUCUGUCAGCCUUGUAGUUGUGACCUGCUUGAAAAGUCAGAAAACUAAAGUGGAAGAAAGGUCUGCGAACGCGGAAGUCUCGGUGAGAAAAUACCUCCGCUGAAAGAUAAAUGACCUUUACGGAUUUGGCUCCUCGCGUUUCUGUGAACAUUUUAGAAGCUAACUUUUUCCUUCUUUAAAGACUAGCAAGACUGUACUCAUCUCCAGCUCUACAAAAAGGGGGCAGCCAGAUGGUUCAACCAAAUUAAGACACUUGAUACCAAACCAGAGUACCUGAGCUACAUUCCCAGGACCUGAAGGAUAGAAGAAAAGAAAGAGUUCCUAAAACCUUCACUACAUGGCCUCUUUGGCAUAUGGAGGAUUCAUCAAAUAUGAAACAUGAUUGGGGCAGAUAUUGGACCAAAAGCCAAGGUAAAAACAAGAAGAAGAUGAAACUUCACACUAGUAAGAAAAGGCUACAUCAGCACAGGAUUCUACAGCAUUCCACACUUGGUAAGACAAGUAUGCUUACAUGGAAAAUGAAUCAAGAGGCCUCAUUAGAAGCAUGCUUCAAAAAGAAAAUUGAAGAUUUGGUUGGAAACGACUCCCCUUUUGUUUAUGUGUCAACUACACAAGCUGAGCACAGAAAAUGAAUUAUUCAGUCUAAUGGGGAAUAUUUUUAAAUAUUGUAUACAGGAAGAGAAGCUUGUGAAAGAAGAGUAAUA